GUGAGGAAUUUUGGACAAUGGGGGCAACCCUGAUCCAGCGACGCCGCGUGGAGGACGAAGGUCUUAGGACUGUAAACUCCUUUUGUCCGCGAAUAAGAAACUUAUAGAAAUAUAGGGAGUGAAUGUACCGGAUGAAUAAGCCACGGCUAACUUCGUGCCAGCAGCCGCGGUAAUACGAAGGUGGCAAGCGUUACUCGGAAUUACUAGGCGUAAAGCGUAGGUAGGUGGUUUGAUAAGUCUGCUGUGUAAGCUCCUGGCUCAACUGGGAGAGGUCAGCGGAUACUGUCGAACUUGAGUGUGGGAGAGGUUACCGGAAUUCCCGAAGUAGCGGUGAAAUGCGCAGAGAUCGGGAGGAACACCAAAGGCGAAAGCAGGUAACUGGACCACUACUGACACUAAGCUACGAAAGCUAGGGGAGCAAACAGG
This 426-nucleotide ribosomal RNA is filed under the name uncultured bacterium. RNAcentral's name for it is "bacterial SSU rRNA". It matches the Rfam family "Bacterial small subunit ribosomal RNA", at positions 354 to 776 of the family's 1533-position model. The record is from RNAcentral.